AUGCUGUGCACAGUUAACGUUGAGAUCAUGAAUGCAUCCACGCAGACGGGAAGGAGACAGAGAAGACUGAGAGACUCAGUGGUCACCACUUCUGUGCAUCUGCUUCUUCACGGGUUACAGUUGUCCAUAAGAAAAAUGACAAGCACCUGCAUGAAGCCCGUCCUAUCACAUCUGAAAAGGAGGAUGAGCGAGUCCCUGAGAGGCGACAUCGUUCUCAGCAGUUUUUCUCUGACCCCUACUCAGAUCUUCAUCACUGCUGUCACUCACCUGAGCAUUCAGAGUCCACAAACUGAUGAAAGGUGAGGAAGGCUUAGAAUAAUGCAUUUCCUUUUUUCCAGAUUUCUCCCUUGCUCCUCCUGAAUUGUAUCCAUCUCUGCAAGGAAAUACAUUGCUUUUGCUUAUUAAAUAUUUGGUCUAUUGAAGCCAGCCUAUCCAAUAGUCAUUGAUAUGACAAUAUUACAUAUACAGGUGCAACUGUUCAUUUGAAGAUUAAGGGACCACCACAAAUAGGUGUCGUGGAACUAUUGUUACACUGUGUAUCCAGGCUUGAGCUCGUCACUGUAAUGCCAUAGUCCGUGGUCCUCACCCUACUGCCAAGCCAAUUCUCAUUUCCUCGUCUGGUCCCCAUCAACUUCAUUUUCUUUUAUAUUUUGGUUCACUUAUUUCAUAUAGAUUUUCCCAUUUCUCUACUGCUUUUGUGUGUUGGUUUGUUUGCCAUGGUUUGCAGAUGAGUUGAGUUUGUCUCCCAAGGGUUUGUAAGCUGAGAGCUUGGUCCUCGUGCAACAGUGUUAACAGGUGUGAUCUUCUAGGUCAGAGGUCCUUAGGGGCAUGUGCUCAGAAAGGAGUAAAAAAAUUCUCAUGGGGCUGCUGAGUUAGUUCUUGUGAGAGGACUGUUACAUAGGAAAAGCCUGGCCACCUUGCAGACUCUUUGUGCCCCUGCCUGGUGGUGGGAUUUGUCUGUUUCUGUCUCUAUCAACUCCUGCCAUUGUAGUGCCCUCCUCUAUGACAAGUAAGUCAAGGGAGCCCUCAUGGGAGCAGGUGUCAUGCUUUUUUGCCAACUCCAAAACUGUGAGCUAAAUAAACCUCUUCUCUUUUUAAGUACCCA
Molecule: long non-coding RNA, 1105 nt
Filed under: Oryctolagus cuniculus (rabbit)
Lineage: Eukaryota; Metazoa; Chordata; Mammalia; Lagomorpha; Leporidae
Description: lncRNA (ENSOCUG00000035396.1)
Source: RNAcentral